UCCCUUGAGGAGUGGCUUCCGGAGCUAACGCGUUAAGUCGACCGCCUGGGGAGUACGGCCGCAAGGUUAAAACUCAAAUGAAUUGACGGGGGCCCGCACAAGCGGUGGAGCAUGUGGUUUAAUUCGAUGCAACGCGAAGAACCUUACCUACUCUUGACAUCCAGAGAACUUAGCAGAGAUGCUUUGGUGCCUUCGGGAACUCUGAGACAGGUGCUGCAUGGCUGUCGUCAGCUCGUGUUGUGAAAUGUUGGGUUAAGUCCCGCAACGAGCGCAACCCUUAUCCUUUGUUGCCAGCGGUCCGGCCGGGAACUCAAAGGAGACUGCCAGUGAUAAACUGGAGGAAGGUGGGGAUGACGUCAAGUCAUCAUGGCCCUUACGAGUAGGGCUACACACGUGCUACAAUGGCGCAUACAAAGAGAAGCGACCUCGCGAGAGCAAGCGGACCUCAUAAAGUGCGUCGUAGUCCGGAUCGGAGUCUGCAACUCGACUCCGUGAAGUCGGAAUCGCUAGUAAUCGUAGAUCAGAAUGCUACGGUGAAUACGUUCCCGGGCCU
This 553-nucleotide ribosomal RNA is filed under the name Enterobacter sp. RNAcentral's name for it is "bacterial SSU rRNA". It matches the Rfam family "Bacterial small subunit ribosomal RNA", at positions 828 to 1381 of the family's 1533-position model. The record is from RNAcentral. Lineage: Bacteria; Pseudomonadati; Pseudomonadota; Gammaproteobacteria; Enterobacterales; Enterobacteriaceae.